AUCAAGUGUAGGCCUUUUGGCUAAAAUAAAGUGUAGUAUCUAUUCUUACCUGUUUAAUAUCUGGUGCAUCCUCUAUCCAAGACUAAGAAAAAUAGCCCUGCUAUUACAAAGUGAUCCACU
Molecule: small nuclear RNA, 120 nt
Filed under: Suricata suricatta (meerkat)
Lineage: Eukaryota; Metazoa; Chordata; Mammalia; Carnivora; Herpestidae
Description: U2 spliceosomal RNA (ENSSSUG00005011709.1)
Rfam family: U2 spliceosomal RNA
About the family: U2 is a small nuclear RNA (snRNA) component of the spliceosome (involved in pre-mRNA splicing). Complementary binding between U2 snRNA (in an area lying towards the 5' end but 3' to hairpin I) and the branchpoint sequence (BPS) of the intron results the bulging out of an unpaired adenosine, on the BPS, which initiates a nucleophilic attack at the intronic 5' splice site, thus starting the first of two transesterification reactions that mediate splicing.
Source: Rfam by way of RNAcentral